CAGCAGCCACGGUAAUACGGAGGGUGCGAGCGUUGUCCGGAAUCACUGGGCGUAAAGGGCGCGUAGGCGGCUACUUAAGCGUGUGGUGAAAGUCCGGGGCUCAACCCCGGAUCGGCCGUGCGAACUGAGUGGCUCGAGCACUGUAGAGGCAGGUGGAAUUCCGGGUGUAGCGGUGUAAUGCGUAGAGAUCCGGAAGAACACCGGUGGCGAAGGCGGCCUGCUGGGCAGUGGCUGACGCUGAGGCGCGACAGCGUGGGGAGCAAACAGGAUUAGAUACCCGAGUAGUCCCUGUCUCUUAUAC
This 301-nucleotide ribosomal RNA is filed under the name uncultured bacterium. RNAcentral describes it as "partial 16S ribosomal RNA". It matches the Rfam family "Bacterial small subunit ribosomal RNA", at positions 509 to 807 of the family's 1533-position model. The record is from RNAcentral.